UGCCCAAAUCUUAGAUCACUGGAACACAAAGGUCUUUGCCACUUAUCCUCUUUGGAAUACUUGGGAAUUCAUGUCUGUCCUAAACUCCAGUACCUUCCAAAGGAGGGUUUGCCUAGUUCCCUUUGUAAACUACGAAUUGCGGGCUGUCCAUUGUUCAAAAAGCAGAUCCAAAACCAAAAAGGCAAAUAUUGGGCAAAGAUUUCUCACGUCCCUUUUGUUAUCUUUGACGAUGAUGAAGUAGUAUCUAUAAGUGAGCUUCUCUAUGAUGAUGGCAUCGAUUUUCCUACCAUCUAAUUCACUCAUCAGCCAGCAGUGUUGGGGAAAGAACGCUGGUGCCGCUCAAUAGGCUUUCGGAUAGAAAGAAGGAAUAAGAGGGAACCACUCAACGUGGAGGUACAUAUUGCUUCAUCAGAACAGCCAGAGAAGAGGCAAAAGAGAGUCAGGCCUGAUGUACUCUGAAGGAAACGAAAGUUCUGCUUCAAGUAAGAAAGAUGCAAAUGGUGGAAGACAGUAUCAAACACCAUUAUUGCUCUGAAAUUAUGGAGCUUUCCAACUGCUCCAAAUUCAUUCACAAAUAUAACUCCCAUGAUAGCAUUGAUUACCAAGACGACUCUGUGUUUUCAAAGCUGCUGAAAUAUAUCUUCGUUCACAUUCUCUGCUUUUCUAUUAGUGUUGUAUUAUAGACUCCCUUGAAAUUUGAAUUUUUGAAGAGAUGAUGUGAGCAUUAGUUCCUAGGGUUGCCUUUGCAUAACGUUGUAAAGGCCUUAGUUCAUGAUUUAAAGUUUUGAUAAGGUUUCUCAGGGUUAGGGAAAAUAGAGACUUGAUUGCGGUUAUUUACUAGGAAUAAAAACGCUCCUAUUUUGCAUUUGAGUAGAGAUUGUAAUACUUGAAAUUUGAAUAUGCCCUUAUGCCUCAUGGUGUAAUGUUCACACACACAGAUAUUUCAAAAAUG
This is a long non-coding RNA of Prosopis cineraria, 952 nucleotides long. RefSeq lists it as uncharacterized. The transcript has 3 exons. The record is from RefSeq and is a predicted model, not a curated record. NCBI's taxonomy places the organism in Eukaryota, Viridiplantae, Streptophyta, Magnoliopsida, Fabales, Fabaceae.